AUAUAAAAUUCUUUACAGUAUUUGAUGCUGGUAAAGAAGUUGUUUGGUUAUGAAAGUUUAUCAACGAGCAUGGAGUGGCACCUUCCAUUAAUGGUCCAGUCUUUCUGUAUUGACAGCAGUACUGGAGCCAUUGCUCAAGCUAAAAAAUUGACGUUUAAUCUAAGAACCAAAUAUUUUCUGUAUUGUAAUCAACUUGUUCGAUAAGAUCGAAAUAAAGUCAAUUUUAAGAAGAUCGACUGAAAGGAGAACUUGAUCGACCCAUUGAUUAGAGCAAUCAGAUCUAAAGAGUUUAAUGAUCUAAAAUAGAAGAUGGGUAUUUGAUACUGAUCUGAUUGACUUUAGUCC
This 345-nucleotide long non-coding RNA is filed under the name Elaeis guineensis (African oil palm). Its description in RNAcentral is "long non-coding RNA (EGUI_LNC062220)". Lineage: Eukaryota; Viridiplantae; Streptophyta; Magnoliopsida; Arecales; Arecaceae. The record is from RNAcentral.